This 483-nucleotide ribosomal RNA is filed under the name uncultured bacterium. RNAcentral describes it as "partial 16S ribosomal RNA". It matches the Rfam family "Bacterial small subunit ribosomal RNA", at positions 30 to 506 of the family's 1533-position model. The record is from RNAcentral.
AUUGAACGCUGGCGGCAGGCCUAACACAUGCAAGUCGAGCGGAUGAAGGGAGCUUGCUCCUGGAUUCAGCGGCGGACGGGUGAGUAAUGCCUAGGAAUCUGCCUGGUAGUGGGGGAUAACGUCCGGAAACGGGCGCUAAUACCGCAUACGUCCUGAGGGAGAAAGUGGGGGAUCUUCGGACCUCACGCUAUCAGAUGAGCCUAGGUCGGAUUAGCUAGUUGGUGGGGUAAAGGCCUACCAAGGCGACGAUCCGUAACUGGUCUGAGAGGAUGAUCAGUCACUCUUGAACUGAGAACCGGUCCAGACCCCUACGGGAGGCAGGAGGGGGGAAUUUUGGCAAAGGGGCGAAAGCCUGAUCCGGCCAUGCCGGGUGUGGGAAGAAGGUCUUCGGAUUGUAAAGCAUUUUAAGUUGGGGGGAAGGGAAGUAAGUUAAUACCUUGCUGUUUGGACGUUACCAACAGAAUAAGCACCGGCUAACUUCGU